This 254-nucleotide ribosomal RNA is filed under the name uncultured bacterium. RNAcentral describes it as "partial 16S ribosomal RNA". It matches the Rfam family "Bacterial small subunit ribosomal RNA", at positions 524 to 776 of the family's 1533-position model. RNAcentral also lists the same sequence under 1 other name. The record is from RNAcentral.
GACGGAGGGGGCAAGCGUUGUUCGGAAUUAUUGGGCGUAAAGGGCUCGUAGGCGGACCGGUGUGUCUGGCGUGAAAUCUCCACUGCUUAACAGGGAGGGGCCGCUGGAAACUGCCGAUCUUGAGUAUGGUAGAGGACCAUGGAAUUCCGGGUGUAGCGGUGGAAUGCGUAGAUAUCCGGAAGAACACCGGUGGCGAAGGCGGUGGUCUGGACCAAAACUGACGCUGAGGAGCGAAAGCCAGGGGAGCAAACGGG